RNAcentral lists this ribosomal RNA (958 nucleotides) under uncultured beta proteobacterium. Its description in RNAcentral is "bacterial SSU rRNA". It matches the Rfam family "Bacterial small subunit ribosomal RNA", at positions 8 to 967 of the family's 1533-position model. Lineage: Bacteria; Pseudomonadati; Pseudomonadota; Betaproteobacteria. The record is from RNAcentral.
AGAGUUUGAUCCUGGCUCAGAUUGAACGCUGAUGCCUUACACAUGCAAGUCGAACGGCAGCGCGGACUUCGGUCUGGCGGCGAGUGGCGAACGGGUGAGUAAUGUAUCGGAACGUACCUUUCAGUGGGGGAUAACGUAGCGAAAGUUACGCUAAUACCGCAUAUUCUGUGAGCAGGAAAGCAGGGGAUCGCAAGACCUUGCGCUGAUUGAGCGGCCGAUAUCAGAUUAGCUAGUUGGUGAGGUAAAGGCUCACCAAGGCGACGAUCUGUAGCGGGUCUGAGAGGAUGAUCCGCCACACUGGAACUGAGACACGGUCCAGACUCCUACGGGAGGCAGCAGUGGGGAAUUUUGGACAAUGGGGGCAACCCUGAUCCAGCCAUGCCGCGUGAGUGAAGAAGGCCUUCGGGUUGUAAAGCUCUUUCGGCCGGGAAGAAAUCGUACGGGUUAAUACCCUGUGCGGAUGACGGUACCGGCAUAAGAAGCACCGGCUAACUACGUGCCAGCAGCCGCGGUAAUACGUAGGGUGCGAGCGUUAAUCGGAAUUACUGGGCGUAAAGCGUGCGCAGGCGGUUUUGUAAGACAGGCGUGAAAUCCCCGGGCUCAACCUGGGAACUGCGCUUGUGACUGCAAGGCUAGAGUAUGGCAGAGGGGGGUGGAAUUCCACGUGUAGCAGUGAAAUGCGUAGAGAUGUGGAGGAACACCAAUGGCGAAGGCAACCCCCUGGGCCAAUACUGACGCUCAUGCACGAAAGCGUGGGUAGCAAACAGGAUUAGAUACCCUGGUAGUCCACGCCCUAAACGAUGUCAACUAGGUGUUGGGUGGGUAAAACCAUUUAGUACCGUAGCUAACGCGUGAAGUUGACCGCCUGGGGAGUACGGCCGCAAGGUUAAAACUCAAAGGAAUUGACGGGGACCCGCACAAGCGGUGGAUGAUGUGAUUAAUUCGAUGCACGCGAAAA